AUUAAGAUCAGCUUUUACUAAUCAACAAAGGACAGCUUUACUAAAUAUCAUAGCGUUUUUAUUAAGUCUUGCUAAAUGUAGAAUUACUUGAAAACAAAAAAGAACCAAUUAAGAUCACCUUUUACUAAUCAACAAAGGACAGCUUUACUAAAGUAGCUUUACUAAAUAUUACAGCGUUUUUAUUAAGUCUUACUAAAUGUAGAAUUCCUUGAAAACAAAAAAGAUCCAAUUAAGAUCACCUUUUACUAAUCAACAAAGGACAGGUUUACUAAAGUAGCUUUACUAAAUAUCAUAGCGUUUUUAUUAAGUCUUAUUAAAUGUAGAAUUACUUGAAAACAAGGUGAAGGACUAAAAGAUCCAAUUAAGAUCAGCUUUUACUAAUCAACAAAGGACAGCUUUACCAAAGUAGCUUUACUAAAUAUCAUAUCGUUUUUAUCAAGUUUUAUUAAAUGUAGAAUUACUUGAAAACAAGGUGAAGGACUAAAAGAUCACCUUCUACUAAUGAACAAGGGAUAUUGCAUUAGAAAGAGAGGAUCGUGUAGGAAAUGAAAGCUGAUGGAAUAAACAUAGAAGAAGCGGAAGCUUUGUGCUCGUUCGAAAUAUAAUUCUCGCGGCGUGCACCAGUCUGGUGGACGCGCGCGUCGAUUGAUUCGUUAAUUAAGUCGUGGAAAUACUUUUGCACGCAUGCGACAGGACGUAUUAAUCGUCGAACGCCGGAGGUCAUAUAUUGUUUGUGACGCUUUAGACGCGAACAUUGAUUGCGAGAGAGACGCCGGCGUCGGUCGGCGGUUUGCAGAGGAGAGACGCUGCUCGGGGGAGCACCGCCGUGUCCCGGGGUAGGAAAGGAAGGAGAGGGAGCGGCGAUAUUAUUGAUUUAUGUCCCGUUCUACGUUAUGUAUUCUAGCUCCUCCACACCGGUGCCGAAUGAUCCGAGGCAAGUGCCACCGUUUUCCUCGCACUCAGCCUUCGACUUUGAAUAUUUCACACACGUUUAUCUCAUUCCGCCAAGUACAACUUUUACUUUAACGACAGUCCUGUUUCCCUCUAAACUUGCUUAAAAAUAUUAUUUCAAUUGGGAACAUUUAUUCUAAUAGGAAUACCAAGGAUCCAUUUUACAAACCUAAAGAUGAACAUAAUUAGUAGGUAUAGCUUAACUAUUGGUAUAGUUUGGUGAGACAAUCAAGGUAAGAAAAUUAAUUGUCAAUGGGCUUAUUCAGGAGGGAUGUAUUUUCUAUUCAAAUAAUUAGAUUACUAAAGUUGCACUAAUUUGUAAAUAUAGAAAUUCUUCUUCUUUAAGAGCCAUUAGCUGAACUGUCAAUUCUAAAGUACAAUAUUAAAGAAGGAACUAUAAAAAGGCUUCUAUAAUCGCAGUUAUAUAAUUAGAUCAAUGAGGGAAGAUAAGGAAAAACUAUAUAGACACGUGUACUGAAAACUUCAUUUAUACUCAGUCGAGCGCUAUAUCCUUGACGAAGAUCGGAAUUACCGGAAUCGAUAUAAGCAAUCGUAAAUCCGCGACAAAGUCCCAUCGGAGGGCAACAAGAAAAUCGCAAACGAUCAUCGUUACUACAAACGUCACGAAAGUGGCGAUCACGUACGCUGAUGGAGGGAAGCGACCAACAGGGAUAUCAAUUAUCUUCUAUGCGAAUUAUAGUUACGGGAAACACUAUGCUGGUGGGGGUAACGGUGGAAGUUGUGCGUGCCGGAAGUUAGGCUGCGCUCGGCUAGGGGCAGAGAGUACGAAGAUAGAGGCAAGAAGGGUGGUAAAGAGAGAAAGAGAGUAAAAGGAAGAGAGGGAUCUGUGAACGAGAAGCGCCGAAAAUUGAUGCAUUCCCUAUGCAAAACAGCAGAAGCACGGCGCUAGUAGUAGCUGGACAACACGCAACCGAGAAUCCUCUACGGUCUCUCUCCAUGGCAUACUCUCUCCUUGUCUCUCUUUCUCACCGCUCGUCCGUCUCGCCUUCUACCACCAUCAGCGGCUCCGUCACCUACGUCCUGAACAGAAUCGAGAGCGGUAUAGGAGCAAUUAACACUCUAUUAACACUAACGACGCUCAUACAUAACAACGGUGCCGCAGGGAUUGAAUUUAUGGUCUGUUAAUGGGGGUUACUUUAUGCGUUAUGCAGUCGUACGCGCGUCACGACGCCUGAACGGCCUCGCGUAAAUUUCGCGACGCCUGCCGCGCGCGGUUUUCUUCCUGCGCCAGAGGUGACACGUGGAACGCCCCGAUCUGUGCGUCGGACCCGCUUCUUGCAGAUUUUUCCUCGAUAGCGGUAACUGUAAUCCUCGUGGGUCUGUCUGAAUGUUUUACACGUCGACGAUCGAAAUAUUCUCCAAUGAGGGUAAGAUAAAUAAAAGAUAAAUCUGAAAUGAUAGAUUAAAGAGUAAACUCUGCUGAUAAAAAUCAAUAAACCUAAGUACAUCCUAAUAGCACGAGUAAUAAUAAAUAUCGGGCAAAUAUGAAUACGCAGUAAUUAAGAUAUUCAUUAAUUUACCAAAUUUAUGAAACCACUGCUCACAGUUCGUGCACCCUCGAUGACCCGGUUUAAAACUCAGUGUAAUCAUCAGCAGGCAAUUUCCAUUCCCAAGCGGUGUCUGAUUCGGUUGUAGGAUACUGGGAAAGGGUGAAAGAGGAAACAGGUGUACGCGUAAUCUCUCUUCGGCGAAACGCGAGUAAACAAGAAAGUUAGAGGGGCUCACCGUUCGUCGAGUGCGGCGGAGUCGAGUGCCAAAGUUCAUCGUGAGAUCCUGCCCUCCUCGCGGCUAAAGGAGACGCGGCAAGGCCGGUAAAGUGAUAAAGCGGCCAUAAAUUCUGACCGCCAUCCUCCCGCCGAGCCCCUCUAUCUUGCCGGCUCUUCACUCGACCGCCUCACACUUCUCCCCCUCUUCGUCCGUCUAUCCGUCUGUCUCUUUCUUUUCCGUCCUUUCCAUCUUCCUUCUUCUUCGCCCCCCACCCUUCUACGUUGCAACCUGGAUGCACCUGCAACAACGGAAUUGGCAAAGGUCAGCACGUGCAUUUCCUCCUCUUACGUUACGGACGCUCUUUAAUACUCACUCGAUGACGAUUCUGUUUCACGUGCUUGAUAAUGUUCAGGCGUUGGCGAGACAGCGUUGUGAAUGGUCGAAAGUGGGAAUUAUUCAGUCCAAUUUACUUUGACAAUUCAUUGUUGAUAUUUUAAACGUACCGAGUGCAUGUUUUAAGAUCCUGUUUAGUUCUUUAUUUUAUUUCUCGUUUGUUUGUCACGCAGAGUUAAUUAGACGAAUGAAUACUUACCGUUAGGUACUGUUCUUUGAAACAGAUUUCUUACGUUCAGUGGAUAUCAGUUCGUCAAGCAGAUCUGGAUAGUCUAAUGACCUAGCGGCGAGUUGAUACGAGCGACUCUACUGGCAGAACGUCCUUGACCAUAAAUAACGAAGGGAGGCAAACCGUCAAUUGACCUGACAGACGUUCGAGUCGACACGCUUGUUUGAUCUUCACCUACUUCUCGAUUACACUCGUAACUCAAGAACGACUGCAUCGAGCCUUCGAAUUUCCACUUACGUAUAUACAUAGUUUGGCGUCUAGCAGCUGGAUCAAAUUAUUUCACCAUGCUAUAUCAAAUAUCAACAAAGCUGGAACUGUAGAAGCUGGGCGAGGUAAUCUUCGUCGAAAAUUUCAUUAGCGGAUCGAACGAAAGAGCGAUGGAGUAAAGCAGCGCUGAAAUAGGAAGGGGAAAUUAGGUCAGGCAAAGACACAUGGAAUUCCACGUGGACAAAGCGAGAAUAGAGACAUCUAUACGACGUAUAGAAGAAAUCCGCGGGCUGUUACUGCUGCAGUUGGGCGAAAUGUCGAAAUCCAAUAUCGCGGUGUUCCAGGCGUACCGGCCUCCUAGAAGCUAGGCACACGGUAUGUUCGUUGCAGCGCAGGGGCGAACAGACAGAAAUCCCAAUAAAUCAUCCCGUCACGAGCCGUGAGCCAAGGCGGAGCCUCUUGCCUCGUAUUAGCCAAUAAUAAUCCUCUCCGAGGUGGAGGCCAUCUUGGAUUAUACAAUGGUUCCUUCCGCCACAAUUCGUAUAAAUGUAACCUUCGGGUUACCGGGCAACCUUUUCGAAGGGUCCCAGUGGCGUAGCGGCGAACCGCCGAUAUUUUCGUUCGACCGUGAAAGACGUCCAGCCGAUCGACCCGAAUUCGAACAUCGUUCCGGCACCACCUUGCCAAAUACGUCACAUGCCACGAAUUAGAGCUACGUAUGGUUAUCAAUCAUCGGAAUUCGAGGCCACCCUCCGGCGAUGAUUAUCCGAUCGUUCUAAUUUCAAUUUAAUUACAACGAGGGACAUUAGUUAAUACGAUCGUCGAACUCGUCUCUAUAUCUUAUCGUGAUUUGGUGUAUCGUUUAAGUUACGAGAUAUAUGGCUGAUGAAUUUAAUGACGUCUCAUGAUGAUUAUUAAGGCGUUGUAAAAUGACAGAUGGUAAUUAUAGCUAUUUGUGUCUGCCAUAUUCCAAGAUACAAUGAUCAUGAACACGGUCUCGAACUUUAAAACCAGUAGCGUAAUUAUAUACUCGCUGCUGACAUUAAAAUAAAACAAUCGAUGAAGUUCUAUCAAUCGGUUAAUUAAUGGAAAAGAGAGAAAGGACGAUGCACACACGAAGGUACGAUGAAUCUCGCGAAGCCGGGUCGAACGAUCCCA
This is a long non-coding RNA of Bombus huntii, 4666 nucleotides long. RefSeq lists it as uncharacterized. The record is from RefSeq and is a predicted model, not a curated record. NCBI's taxonomy places the organism in Eukaryota, Metazoa, Arthropoda, Insecta, Hymenoptera, Apidae. The transcript has 3 exons.